Molecule: long non-coding RNA, 577 nt
Filed under: Helianthus annuus (common sunflower)
Lineage: Eukaryota; Viridiplantae; Streptophyta; Magnoliopsida; Asterales; Asteraceae
Description: hypothetical non coding rna
Source: RNAcentral
UAGCUUGAAAAAAAAAAAACAUGUUUACCAUAUACAAAUAACAAAACCUAUAGUUACGAUUUAUGAAUGCAACUAACCUCAUCAUCAUACACGCAACUCCUCAAAACGCCAAAUGUAUGGGGUUGCAGUAAAAUAUAUAUAUAUUCAAGUCCACCUUAGUAGCCAAAAAUAGAAAACCCACCCUUAAGAGUAAUGUUGACGUAAGAAAAAAAGUUGUAAGCUAAGUCACCUUCAAAGAACCAACCAUCACACCAACUUAGCACAAUGUGCUUACUCACUCGCCUAGAUCACUCCAUGAUCAAAAAUGACACAAUUAUAUAUAUGCCUUAUGUAUAUGCUAGGACCUAAGGUCUUUGGUCCCUUCGCACCAAGAAAAUGAAGUAUCCGAUCAUAAGUUUAAUGACAUUUAGUACUAUAUAUAUAGCAGAACAUUGCGAUUCUACAAAAAAAUGUAGAAUCUGAUCACAAGAUUAAUGAAACUUUUGAACAUUUAGUACCUUACCUCUUAAUUUGAGUAAGAAGUGUUCCAUCUUGAUUUGCUAUUCAUAUCCCCUAGAAAAAAAAACAAGUAAAAACA